UAUUUUGCCAAAUAAAUGCUGAAGAAUACUGAUUGUAGAGUUCUGCAACUCUUCAUUGUUCAUGAUCAGAAUUACAACAUUGCUUCUCAAUCAUGUCAGUGUCAUCACCAAUACACAUGCGUUUAGGUGCAGACCUACAAAUCACUUUCCUAGUAAUGUUAGAUUGUAUAGAUUUUGUUAAAGUAAGUCAAUGGUAUUUCAUCCUCCUGAGACCCUUAAAUAAUAACGUUUUCCAUUUAGAGUUAUCCAACCUAAAUACCAUUUUGGAAAUUAUUUCACUAGUUGUUUCAUUAAACCCUGGUUGUUUCUAUUUUGUUUGUAUAUUUAAAUUUAAUCUUGUUUUAGGAAGAAUUUAAGGUGCUUCAUACUCACUACUUAGAGACUGAUCUGACUCACCUAAUAAUAAGGUUAUAAUGGGAUAAUGAAUGUUGUUCAUGCUUAUUUAAAAAAAAUUUUUUUAAAUAAAGGCCAACAGAUACUAAGAUUACUUUCAAUAAGCAACAAAGUUUAAUGACUUGGUCUGAAUUCUGUCAGAGGAAUCAGUCAGUCCUUAACAUAAGGGACUGGGCCAAAAUCCAAACAACAAAAAGAUGAAUAUUCCUCCUGUUUCCUCAACACACACACGUGCAAACAAAUAUACAUUCCUAUGUACUUUUCAAUAUUUUUCUUGCAGCUUGGAAAAGUAUUUGUUUGUAUCCUAUGAAUAUAAAUGAACUUAUCAGAGGUAACUGACAUCAUAUUAUUAUUGAUGAAGGAAUUAAUCUAGAAAACUAAGAAAAAAAUGGCACAAACAUGGAGUUAAUAGGGGAAGCUGGUUUCCAGAAUAACUAAGAAUCAUGUAGAAUCCCUGGCGUUGAAGAUGAAAUGGUGGAGAAGGGAAAACCUUGCCCUUCACUCUCCUCACUCCUACUCACAGUCACAGAGUGCCUGAAGAAGAGUUUGGCACCACUGGUAGGAGAGAUCUGUAAGGCAACGGAAACAACUAAAUAGGAAAAGUGGUUUCUAGUUUUCCAGGAAAAUCCUGAGGAAAGAGUGCUAUUCUUAAGUUCUGUUCUAAAACAAGAUUAUUAAAUGUUAGCUUGUUUUACGUUUUGCUUAAAAAGAUAAUGUUCAAUAUUUAGAAAUCAAAGAAAGAUCACAGAUGUGCUAAGAAGAGGAAUCCUGUUAGGUUCAUCUGCUUUUAAGUCUCUGAUUUUUAGAAUUAGAACACUGGGAAGGAAUGUGCCAUACAGUGGCUGAGAUGGGCUCAGGCAGCAGCAAACCAUCACUGUGUAGCCAUUCUGCUUUUGGACACCAAAUAGCCAAUAUAGACCCCACAAGAAUUGGGUUGGGAAAACAACUUCCCAAAGAAUUGCACUCUAGGAUACAAUCUUGACUCUACCACUUAUAACUAUGAUUUGGGAAAGUUACUGUACCUCUCUGUACCUCAGUUUCCAUAUCUACAAAAUGGAAUGAUGACAUUUUACAUCUACUUCAUUAAGCUGUGAGAAUUAAGUAAGAUAACAUGUGGAAAGUAUCAAGGAUGGCAACUGAGACAUCAUAAGUAGCAAAUUAAUAUCAAGUAGCAGCAUUGGUAUUGCUAAUAGUAGUUGAUGUUUUCAUCUUGAUCCAUAAAAAUUUGAAAAUCAUAACUAUGUCCUGGUUGUUUCCACAUUAAGGAGAAAUUACGACAACUACGAGAUUGCAUUAUUGGGAAAAGGCCAGAAGAAGAAAAUGUCUAUAAUAAACUCACCAUUGUGCACCAUCCAAGUGGUAAGGAAACUGCCCACAAUGAAAAUAUGUUUUAUAAUGUACACUUCAGCAAUAAGCUACCUGCUCGACCCCAAGUUGAAAAGGAAUUUGGUUUCUGUUGCAAGAAAGAUCAUUAAAGAAGGUUAUUAUAAUGAAACUCACGAAUCUACGGACAUUUUGCUUUCAGGGUGAAGCAAGCUUGCAUUUGGAUUGCCUGCCCUCUUUAAAGCAAAUUCAUACUAUGAAAGCAGAAACAAACCUUCAGAUUUCAGAAUUUGUUAUUGGCAAAAUUUAUUUUCAUUAUACCUGCUUCAUAUGGGUAUAUUACUAUUAAAACAUACCAUAGAGUAAUUGC
This 2086-nucleotide small RNA is filed under the name Pongo abelii (Sumatran orangutan). RNAcentral describes it as "retained intron". The record is from RNAcentral. Lineage: Eukaryota; Metazoa; Chordata; Mammalia; Primates; Hominidae.